UUGUAAUUAGCUCAAAAAUAAUAACGGAAAUCCAAACAAAAGAGGGUAAUGAGGUCCCCAUCACCAUUAACAUUCCAAAUUUAACGGACUUCCCUCCGUGGGCCGGGUCGGUGUUAGAAUCAUUCCAUAGCAAAACAAAAUCCUUCUGGUGCGGCUCAUUUCACCUGGAGCCUUAGCCUUAAGCCUCACAGAGUUGACUCCACGCCCUUCAACUGUUCGACAAAUCGCCCGAGUGAAACUCCACCACCCAUGUUUCCGAAGCAACUCCGCACCCUUGGCACAGCCGCCGCAGUACUCCUCGGCGGAUUCUUCACGCUCAACCUGGCUUCCACUGCCACAAUCGGAGCCCUCCGGUUCGCCGCCGAAUCCAAACGGAUUAAAUUUCAAGAACCCGGAUCAUUUGAUCAUCGAACUUUUAACGAAGAGAUGCGAAGAAGAUCUCUUCCCACCUACCAGCACCCUCCUCGACGUGGCAGUCUCUCCUUAGUUCCCUCCUUGUCAUCGGAAUGAAUCAUCAGUGGCCCACGCACACCUCGGCUCAGAUGCUAACUUGCGCCGGUGUCGAUAUUCAAUCUUCCACGUUUGAGAAUCUAAAUAAAUAAAAAAUACGAUUAGGAUUAGGAUUAUGAUUCGAAGAAAAUGUACUGGGUUGCAAUAUGUAUAUGCUUCUUUUUGUUUUUCAUAAAGCACAACCCGUUUGUUCAUGAUUUAUGCCUCUUCCCUACUUCUCAAGCUUCAUUUUUACAUAUUUUAAAAUUUU
Pyrus x bretschneideri (Chinese white pear) is the source of this 760-nucleotide long non-coding RNA. RefSeq lists it as uncharacterized. The record is from RefSeq and is a predicted model, not a curated record. The transcript is spliced from 2 exons. Lineage: Eukaryota; Viridiplantae; Streptophyta; Magnoliopsida; Rosales; Rosaceae.